Chlorocebus sabaeus (green monkey) is the source of this 1173-nucleotide non-coding RNA. Lineage: Eukaryota; Metazoa; Chordata; Mammalia; Primates; Cercopithecidae. The record is from RefSeq and is a predicted model, not a curated record.
UUGAGCCCAGGAGUUUUAAGUCCAACUUGGGUAACAUAGUGAGACCCCAUCUCUUAAAAAAAAAUUAAAAAAAAGGUCUGUCCAAGCCCAGACAAAGUCUUCACUCCUUCCCGAGGCCCGAGGAAGCCCUCUCUCCCCAGACAUGGCCAAUAAGGGUCCUUCCUAUGGCAUGAGCUGCGAAGCUCAGUCCAGAAUUGAGAAGAAGUACGACAAGGGACUGGAGUAACGGCUGGUGGAGUGGAUCAUAGUGCAGUGUGGCCCUGAUGUGGGCUGCCCAGACCGUGGGCGCCUGGGCUUCCAGCUCUGGCUAAAGAAUGUAUAAUAAUAAUAAAAAAAAAAUGGUGUGAUUCUGAGCAAGCUGGUAAACAGCCUGUACCCUGAUGGCUCCACGCCAGUGAACCUGCCCGAGAACCUGCCCUUCAUGGUCUUCAAGCAGAUGGGGCAGGUGGCUCAGUUCCUGAAGGCAGCUGAGGACUAUGGGGUCACCAAGACUGACAUGUUCUAGAUUGUUGACCUCUUUGAAGGCAAAGACAUGGCAGCAGUUCAGAGGACCCUGAUGGCUUUGGGCAGCUUGGCAGUGACCAAGAAUGAUGGGCACUACCGUGGAGAUGCCAACUGGUUUAUGAAGAAAGCGCAGGAGCAUAAGAGGGAAUUCACAGACAGCCAGCUGCAGGAAGAAAAGCAUAUCAAGGCAGCAACAGAGGGGCCUCCCAGGCUGGCAUGACAUGCUACAGACGACCUUGGCAGAUCAACAGCCCUGCCCUCCCCCAGCUCCUUGGCUGCAGCCAUCCCGCUUAGCCUGCUUCACACAUACCCAUGUGGUACCUUUAGCUCUGGCCAAGCUUUGAGGCUCUGUCACUGAGCAAUGGUAACUGCAGAUGGGCAGCUCUUCCCCAGUACCCCCAGCCUCAGCCCAACUUCUUACCCAAAAGCAUCACUGCCCUGGCCCCUCCCUCCCGGCUACCCCUGCCACCUCUACUGUCUCCCUGCCCUGCACCUCCUCUUCCCACCCCCCUGGGCUAAGCAGGGGAGAAGUGGGCUGGGGGUAGACUGGAUGUGGGGCAAGUCCACUGUUUUCCUUGACGGCAAAAGCCCAUUGAAGAAGAACCAGCCCAGCCUCCCCCUAUCUUUUCCUGGAAUAUUUUUGGGGUUGGAACUCAAAAAGGAAAAAAA